CUCCCCUCCCUCCAUCAGAUGCGCAACCCUCCUCCUCUCUUUACCCCAAGGCUGCAGCUCCAACUCUCCCUCCUUUCUCUCCACAAAAAUGGAUUCUCGCCCAGCAGCAAUCCCGAUUUGCCGCUGCAUGUUUUAUCUCGUCACUGGUAUCCUUCCCAUGCUGUGGUAAGAUGAUUCUCCUUCUAUGUUUUUUUAUCAUGAACC
This 204-nucleotide long non-coding RNA is filed under the name Sorghum bicolor (sorghum). Its description in RNAcentral is "long non-coding RNA (SBIC_LNC018716)". The record is from RNAcentral. Lineage: Eukaryota; Viridiplantae; Streptophyta; Magnoliopsida; Poales; Poaceae.